This is a long non-coding RNA of Carcharodon carcharias (great white shark), 466 nucleotides long. RefSeq lists it as uncharacterized. The record is from RefSeq and is a predicted model, not a curated record. The transcript has 3 exons. Lineage: Eukaryota; Metazoa; Chordata; Chondrichthyes; Lamniformes; Lamnidae.
UGUUAUUUAUUUCAAUACAUUCUUUCUUUUUAUAUGAUCGAGUUAUUCAGGUCUGGCUCAAUAUGGUGUCAUCUAAAGGCUGAUUUCAACUGUAUAAUUAGGCUCACGGCCUCCUGUCCUCCUGCCUGAUUUCUAUCAAACCACUGCUUCUUUUGGACCUGGUUUUACAUACAACAUUCUUCAUCAAUGCAAAAUAAUUUAAGACCGACAUUGAACCUCAGAAAUUUCAAUUACUGGGGAAGAGGCAGACAAAAAGCAUGGAGUAAUUUGUGGGAAGAAGAUAAUACAGUGUCACCUAGUGACAAAUUAGUGUACCUACACCACAUGGACUGCAGGGGUUCAAGAAGGCAGCUCACCACCACCUUCUCAAGGGCAACUAGAUUUGGGCAAUAAAUGCUGGCCCAGCCAGCGAAGCCCACAUCUGUGAAUGAAUAAAAAAAUGACAUCCCAGUGGUAUAAUUUAUGU